This 693-nucleotide ribosomal RNA is filed under the name uncultured bacterium. Its description in RNAcentral is "bacterial SSU rRNA". It matches the Rfam family "Bacterial small subunit ribosomal RNA", at positions 8 to 678 of the family's 1533-position model. The record is from RNAcentral.
AGAGUUUGAUCCUGGCUCAGAACGAACGUUAGCGGCGCGCCUAACACAUGCAAGUCGAACGAGAAAGGGAGCAAUCCCCGGUACAGUGGCGCACGGGUGAGUAACACGUAGGUAAUCUGCCCUUGGGUGUUGGAUAACCUUCCGAAAGGAGGGCUAAUACAGCGUAAGUCCACGAGCACGAAAGUGCUUGAGGUCAAAGUAGGCCUCUGUAAACAAGCUUACGCCUGAGGAUGAGCCUGCGGCCCAUCAGCUAGUUGGUAGGGUAAUGGCUUACCAAGGCAAAGACGGGUAGCUGGUCUGAGAGGAUGAUCAGCCACACUGGAACUGAGACACGGUCCAGACUCCUACGGGAGGCAGCAGUGGGGAAUCUUGCGCAAUGGGGGAAACCCUGACGCAGCGACGCCGCGUGAGUGAUGAAGGCCUUCGGGUUGUAAAGCUCUGUGGGGAGAGACGAAUAAGUGUAGUCGAAUAGACUGCAUGAUGACGGUAUCUCCUUAGCAAGCACCGGCUAACUCUGUGCCAGCAGCCCGCGGUAAGACAGAGGGUGCAAACGUUGUUCGGAAUGACUGGGCGUAAAGCGUAUGUAGGCGGCUUUGCAGGUCGGAUGUGAAAUCCCUUGGCUCAACCCAAGGAAGUGCAUUCGAAACCGCAGAGCUUGAGUGCCUGAAAAGGAAGGUGGAAUUCUCGGUGGUA